CACUCUCCAGAGUGCGUUUCAGACCGCUGCCCGCCUGUGGGAACUGGGCUGCCUCACAGGCCGGGCUCUGCAGGCGCUCAGUGGGGAACUAGACCGGAAACCUUUAGGGGGUGGCUCUCUGCAUCCUCUGGGACCCAGAUGGGAAGCGGUGGCUUCCUCUGGUGUCCUUAACGAAGGUUAUCGCUCAUGCCCAGUAGCCACACGGAACUCAGAAGCUGUCAGCCAGGAUCUGAACUUGCAACCUGAGAGGUGGAUGGUGGUGGGACAUGCUGGUGGGCAGGAGCUGAGGACCUGGGCGGCAGAGCCAGGACAUCCCUCCCUCAUCUUCAGUGUCCCGCUGGAAGUGGAGGAAAGCGAGGCCCAGCACGCGCAGUCCCGGGGGGCUUCACCAUCCAUCUGCUGUGGUCCCGUGGGGCUCUACUCCAGCCCC
Molecule: long non-coding RNA, 430 nt
Filed under: Heterocephalus glaber (naked mole-rat)
Lineage: Eukaryota; Metazoa; Chordata; Mammalia; Rodentia; Bathyergidae
Description: lncRNA (ENSHGLG00100041956.1)
Source: RNAcentral